CAAACACCGACGAGAUACCGGUCUUUUCGUAGUCGGUACCACUCAUAAAUCAUGCUUCUGCUAACAUGCCCGUCGCAGAUAGAACUCCUCCCAGGACGAUGGUCCAAUCCUCCCCAAUCUGAGUAGUGGUUUCCUCUUGCUUCUCAACGCCUUCUCGUACGCGCGGGCAGCCGGUGGAACAGGAGGGGAAGCCGGACGGGGUCCGACCAUUUCGGGUGUAGAGACUAACGGAGGAAAGCAGUUCUGUCAGCACGGGGUUCUGUUUGCUGAAACUUUGCGCACGUAUUUCUCUCCUCUCGUUACGCACUCUACUGCAAGUACAAGCUAAUGUCUGAGUCGGGGAAUGCUGAGCACAGGAUUCUUCGUACGGGUCUUGAGGUUCUGGCUGCAGUGUAGAUGUGGACCCGCGGGUAACGUGGCGUACAGAACCACCCAUGAGAGAGUUUUACGACUCGUUCUGGGUGCCUGUUGCGAAGAACUCUAUUUCUUUUUUUGGUAAAAAGGCAACGUCCUUGUGUCCAUUGGAGGAAUAACUUAUGGGUUUUUGACAAACAGUUAGCAGCAUGUAUGGAAUGCCGCUGCUGUUACUGUUUCUCUUCGUGUGAACAGCGAGGGAAACCUAGUUCUCAGACGCGAAUAUUUAGGUCAUCGCCAUCGUCCUCGACGGCUCUUUCGGUAGACUUCUUCGGCGGAUAAUCCCGGUGAAUUGAGAACGAGUUCUCGACUUUGAGAGGCAUCCUCCCCGUACAAAAGUCGACAAAUUUAACCACACUUUUGGCGUGGGUUUGCAGACACCACCUUGCAUCUGCACUUCUGCAGCUCAGAUGAACCAAAACGAAGAGUCCUCCAAAUCAAGCACGUAGAAAGCGAAGCCUUGAGAGCACCCUUCGUCAGUCACACACUCUGGAGAAACUGGGCAGCAUUCCCGCGCGCCGACAACGCAGGUCGACUUGCUCCGCGACCGUCAAAAUCCCCAAAUCGACGCAAAGCAGAACUCCGGCAGCCAGGAGCCAUUUGCCUCUGAAACAAAAGUGGCAGAAGUGACGACCUCUGUGAAAAAACAAACAGGCUAGCUCUGUGUAACUCUGUGCUGGCAUCGGUCCCAGCGACACAAAGACACACGAAUUACCUCUGAUUCAUAAAGACAGACACGGUAGAGAUCGUGCUAGACUCGUUGUGGUCUAGAGCAGCUUCAGUUCUAGAAAAGGGUAUGUCUCUGGACAUUCCUUCAUCUGUCUGAAAAGUGCUCGUGCCGCGUCAUGCUUUCUCCGGUUUUUUUGGUAGCCUCGAGUGCAGGCUCACAGAAGAGACACUCCUACAACCGUCUAAUUUUUUUCUGGAAC
RNAcentral lists this long non-coding RNA (1343 nucleotides) under Toxoplasma gondii VEG. Lineage: Eukaryota; Apicomplexa; Conoidasida; Eucoccidiorida; Sarcocystidae. The record is from RNAcentral.